RNAcentral lists this ribosomal RNA (490 nucleotides) under uncultured bacterium. Its description in RNAcentral is "partial 16S ribosomal RNA". It matches the Rfam family "Bacterial small subunit ribosomal RNA", at positions 28 to 507 of the family's 1533-position model. The record is from RNAcentral.
GAUGAACGCUCGCUACAGGCUUAACACAUGCAAGUCGAGGGGCAGCAUGGUCUUAGCUUGCUAUGGCCGAUGGCGACCGGCGCACGGGUGAGUAACACGUAUCCAACCUGCCGUCUACUCUUGGACAGCCUUCUGAAAGGAAGAUUAAUACAAGAUGGCAUCAUGAGUCCGCAUGUUCACAUGAUUAAAGGUAUUCCGGUAGACGAUGGGGAUGCGUUCCAUUAGAUAGUAGGCGGGGUAACGGCCCACCUAGUCUUCGAUGGAUAGGGGUUCUGAGAGGAAGGUCCCCCACAUUGGAACUGAGACACGGUCCAAACUCCUACGGGAGGCAGCAGUGAGGAAUAUUGGUCAAUGGGCGAGAGCCUGAACCAGCCAAGUAGCGUGAAGGAUGACUGCCCUAUGGGUUGUAAACUUCUUUUAUAAAGGAAUAAAGUCGAGUAUGGAUACCCGUUUGCAUGUACUUUAUGAAUAAGGAUCGGCUAACUCCGUG